RNAcentral lists this RNase P RNA (332 nucleotides) under Flavobacterium sp. BFFFF1. RNAcentral's name for it is "RNase P RNA component class A". It matches the Rfam family "Bacterial RNase P class A". Rfam says of the family: Ribonuclease P (RNase P) is a ubiquitous endoribonuclease, found in archaea, bacteria and eukarya as well as chloroplasts and mitochondria. Its best characterised activity is the generation of mature 5'-ends of tRNAs by cleaving the 5'-leader elements of precursor-tRNAs. Cellular RNase Ps are ribonucleoproteins. The record is from RNAcentral. Lineage: Bacteria; Pseudomonadati; Bacteroidota; Flavobacteriia; Flavobacteriales; Flavobacteriaceae.
ACCGCAGGCCGCCUUAUCGCUUCCAACAUAUGUCGGGAGAGGAAAGUCCGGACACCAAAGAGAAGCAUAGCGGGUAACGCCCGUCGGUUCCGUAUCUAUAGUUAUAGGGACGGGAUUAGGACAAGUGCAACAGAAAGUAUGUACAGGUGAAGCUGUAGUGAAACCAGGUAAACUCUAUGCGGUGAAAUUUCAAGUAUAUCGGCUUUUAAGGGCUUCUCGUCCGCUGUCGAAGGGUAGAAAGAUUGAGCGCACGGGUAACUUUGCGCCUAGAUAAAUGAUAAGGAUUCCGAUUUAUCGGGAUACAGAAUCCGGCUUACAGGCCUGCUUUUUUU